CGGGGAGUAGCUCAGUCUGGUAGAGUGUCUGCUUUGGGAGCAGAAAGUCGCAGGUUCGAAUCCUGUCUCCCCGA
RNAcentral lists this transfer RNA (74 nucleotides) under alpha proteobacterium HIMB59. It matches the Rfam family "tRNA". From Rfam's summary of the family: Transfer RNA (tRNA) molecules are approximately 80 nucleotides in length. Their secondary structure includes four short double-helical elements and three loops (D, anti-codon, and T loops). Lineage: Bacteria; Pseudomonadati; Pseudomonadota; Alphaproteobacteria; Candidatus Pelagibacterales; Candidatus Pelagibacteraceae. The record is from Rfam by way of RNAcentral.